This 569-nucleotide long non-coding RNA is filed under the name Homo sapiens (human). RNAcentral describes it as "HSALNT0385261". Lineage: Eukaryota; Metazoa; Chordata; Mammalia; Primates; Hominidae. The record is from RNAcentral.
GUAGGCUGGGAAUCUGGCCGGGGGUCUGGUUGGGGAGCAGGCUCUGGGGCUGGUUCAGGUGGGGCUGCAGACUCCAGCCUGGACCCCUGGUCUGCAGUGGCCUCUUUGCUCACUUCUGGUUUGGACACUGUUUCUUGGCAUGGGUCUUCGGGGCUGCAGUUGGCCUUUGAUUCCCCUCCUGGGCUUAAGCUGAGGUCUGUGGCCUGGGCUGUUUCUGAGGCCCCAGCCGGGGUCUCUGUGGUUUCUGGAGCCAGCCCAGCCUUGGGCCCUGAGUCCACAGGGGCCGCAGUGGUGUUUGGACCUGGCUGCGGGGCCUCUGGCUGGUCUGGUACCCCUGCUAGGACCUGGGGAGGGCCAGUUUCAGCUUCAGAAUGGCCAGGCCCUUCGCCUGGAACCUUGGGACUCUCCUCAACCCCCUUCAUCUCAGAGAUCUCAGAGCUGCUGGCUGCCAUCUUGAGAUGGGAGAGGGGAGAGAGCCCCUAUGGGGAGGAUGGAAUAGCAGAGACAGCGGCAAACCCUGGAAGAGGAGGAGAUAGGCUUGGGGUGAGGAGGGAAGAGGGCGCUCAGCA